UUAAGUUCAGCGGGUAAUCCUAUCUGAUUUGAGAUCUAAUCUAAAGGUAGACUAAGCUAGAUUAGCAGCUUCCUAGUUCAAAAACGGCUCUAACCGAAGUUAGAUUCCUCAGCGAAUAGUCUAUUACGCCAAGUCAAUCCGAAGUCGAAUAUGGAUGCUAAUAUAUUACGAAUGAGCUCGGGUUAGGAGCAACACUCAGA
RNAcentral lists this unclassified non-coding RNA (200 nucleotides) under Rhodosporidiobolus sp. Its description in RNAcentral is "partial internal transcribed spacer 2". The record is from RNAcentral. RNAcentral also lists the same sequence under 1 other name. Lineage: Eukaryota; Fungi; Basidiomycota; Microbotryomycetes; Sporidiobolales; Sporidiobolaceae.